Molecule: long non-coding RNA, 3876 nt
Organism: Equus asinus (donkey)
Lineage: Eukaryota; Metazoa; Chordata; Mammalia; Perissodactyla; Equidae
Source: Ensembl
GGUGGUGAGGGCAGUGUGGACAGCUGUCGGGGGAAAGUCAAGGAGUAUGAACUCCAUACUGCAGGCAGUGAUGAACCAUGGACCCUUCCAGGGAAGAGCCUGGAAGAGGUUUGAGCACAGGCAGGAAGAUCAGCAAGGACUAUAGUCACGCUGCAGGCAGGAAGGGCCUGCACUGGGGGGCACUGAGGGGAGCUGGUCCCAGCACUGCAGCUCCCAAGGCAGCCCCUUCCCCAUCGGGGCCCAGACGCUGCAUCCCAGGCAGCAGGAUGGCACGGCCCCAUCUGCCACCAAAACAUUCUAUGUUUCUCGAAUGUCUUCUUUGUCUCAGGCUUAUCAGGCAUUGGAGACCUUUCAGAAUGUCCAAAAUGCAAACAACCCCCCCCCACACACUACCACCCACACACUGCAACUUCUUGACUCCCGUGCUCACCACGGAAGAGCGUCUCUUGUCCCCAUGGGUGCUCACUCCUCUGGACCCACUUCACAUCAUCCUCAUCUCCUCCCUUGCCAUUGCAACUUCCAGCCUUUCGGCUCCUGUGCAGCAGCCUGUGCCCUCUACUCUCCUCCAUCCCACUUCGGCCUGCUUUUUGCUGUUAUCCAGCAGCUUCCUGGCGCUGGGAGGACUCUAGCGCCAGGCUCCAAAUCCUCCUCUCUACCCCAGUUGCUCUCAUGACCCUUGGGCAUUCAGCUUCUGUCUUCUGAACCCCUCUCACCUCGAUGCCCUUCUCUCGAGCCAAGACCAGGAUCAUGUCUGCAGCAGAUCCCAACUUGUCCUCAGCACUGCAGACAGGGAUGAUGUCACUCCCCUGCUUAAACUCCUUCAGAGGACUUCCAGUCCAGAUGGUGGACCAAACUGACCCGGGAUCCCAGUUCCCACUCUUAAAACAUAAAAUUUCUAGAUAAAAUACUUUUAAACUUAAAAUAUAUAUCCAAGCAGGAAUGCAAGAAAUAAACAUGAAAAGAAACCCUCAGCUGUGAGGGAAGAGUUGCAGCUAUGGCAUUUUAGACAAGUUGUGCUGAGGAAACAAGAAUUAGUGUUCAGGUCCCACGAGGGGAAGGAGCCCUGGCAAGACCCCAGCUCUGGAGGGCUCCACCUGGGAGCGUUAAGGACGGAGCCUUACCAAAAUCACAACCCUUACUCGACUCAGCUCUGCCCUGAUCGUUGAAGGUAAUCCGCCCCACUCUCUCUGCCUGGCAGAGAGCAAGGAGAACUCUUUCCAGAAGAAGAUAACACCAUUCAGAACCUCUGCAGUUUUUUUAAUGCACGUUAUCUAGGCCCUUUAAAAGAUAGGAUUAUAUGACUGAAAACCAAGAGGAAAAAUAAGAUAACAGAAUCAGACCUAGAGGUGACUAAAAGAUUGGAGAUAGCAAAAAAAAAACCAAACUUUAAAAUAAAUAUGACUAAUAUGUUAAGGAAAAGGCAGGAGGAAAUGGAGAUACAUGGAAGAUAAUAUGGCGAAUUUCCCAGGAGAAUUGGAUUCUAUAAAAAAGAAACUGAGCAUCUUUAAUGGAAAAAUAAAUUAACUGAAACUAAAAAUUCAGUAGAUGGGUUUAAAAGCAGAUUACACAAGUCAGAAGAAAGGAUUAGUGAACCAAAAGGUCAAUAGAAGCUGUGCAAACUUACAAAGAGAAAAAGGAAUGGAUAGAGGAAAAAAAGCAUAUGAUACGUGACAGGGAAAGUAAAAAAGUAGAGUGCCAGAGGGAGAAGAAAGAUAGAAUGGAGAAGUAACGUCUGAAGAAAUAAUGCCUGAAAAAUUUUAAAACCAGUAAGACACUGUGAAAAUUAAUAAAGGGAAACCUCACUUAAAAUAAAGUCAAGAGGCCAGAAAGGAAGCACUCUCACACAGUACCACCUGAGGUCAUUUGCAGGAAAGGUGGUCAAUUACAGACCCCAACAAGAAGAAAUGUACCUUGCAUCCCAAACAGAAAUCAACUACCCCAGCAACUCGGCCAAUGAGAAACCGUCACCACUCUGAAGUCUUGCUUUCCUCCAGUGGACUUUAGUUCAAAACAACCCCUCCCAAUUUCCUCCUUUUUCCCUGUAAAAUCACGUUCCUCUCCUUUGAUUGUUGGACCUGCCUAUGGCUUUUGCCACAGCCUGUGGGUCCUGAACUGCAAUUCCUUGCUUUUUCCUGAAUAAACUCAUUUUGCUGGUAGAAUUGGCUGUUUUAUUUUUCAGGUUGACAUACAUGGUGUCAGAAGUGGGAUCUGAAGGAGGCGACCCUCAAGAGACGAUGGGCCCCAGAAUUGAGCGAGGUACCUGCUCUAGGCCCCUGGAGCUCAUGGCUUCUGUGAGUCGCGGCCUACUUUUGGCUUGAAGGGACUAUACCUCACUACCCAUAUGGCAGCCAAUCUUCAGGGACUUGAGCCUUGGUUGCACGUCUCACAGCUAAAGAAGGCUCCACCUGACAUCUGGUCCUUUACAAACACUGGAGACCUCAAGUCAAAUUGACCAGGAGGAGAAGUAGCUGACGUCUGAGGCAGAGAGCUUUCCCAAGACGACCAAACCAGGCCUGUAUAUCCUCUUCUCACUGUUGUUUCUUACUUUAUUUUCUCUCUCCCCUUCCUGGAAGGACGGUGCCCUUGUCUGCAUUUCCCAAUCCCUUACAAAAGGGGGAAACCUCUUCUUUCGAUUAUAGGCUUUCAGAAACAGCCUCCUUACGAUCCCGCGACAAAUUAAUCUUUUCGCUUUCUUUUUCUGAAGGGUUAGAAAGUUCAGCAUUCACAGAAGUCUUUCUUUCAUCUGGACUGUUACCUGUCUCUGAGCUCUUAUCCAAAUCCAUGGUCUCUGAAUUUGCAACCCUACAGGCAGUAUUACUGGAUAACGCAUUUGACUCCCAAACAGUUAUUUCGAGAUGACAAUACUGUUUUAAUAUGUCUUUUUGAAUUUUUGCAAGAGUUCAUCAGCUAUUGCUUCAUGUUUAUUCCUGCACUGUCUUCCCAAUGCACUCAGUUAAUUCUUUCAGUUUGAGUGUGCUCUUACCGUAUUUGCUGUUCUGUUUUGUCUUCAUAACAAAUCAGAAGCCUCUCACUGGUUCACCCCAUUAAGCCUCUAUUUAGCCGGUUACCUUCAGGUUUGGGCUCCUAGUUUGGAACCAUCAGACAAUUUGGAUUUGUCAUGUUACUUUCAAUUCUGUUUUGUAUAAAUACUUUAAGUUUUGUAUUUUAUUGCCUGUCAAACCUUUGUAAACAUGACGUACCUCAUGAGGUGACGUUAGCACAGCAAUCUGAAAUGAUUUCCAAUGCUUAUGACCUUGGACGACUAUAGACUUUGAAUGAGAAGUGCCUGCGAGUUCUCCCUCCUAACCUUCCUGGUUUCUCAAGUGUGGCCUAAAUGGUUUCCAAGCACUAUGCACUCUCCCUCCAACGUGGAUCAUGACGAGAAGGAAAGGUCCUUCCCGGCACCGAGGGACAAGACCACUAAGUGCAGAAAUCCUGACUCUCGAUCAGUGAUGCUUUCAGAGAAUGAUCUUGAUCAGAAGGGAGGAAUGUGAAAAUUAAUAAAGGGAAACCCAUUUAAAAUGGAUUCUGGAGGCUGGAAGGGGGAGCUCUCACACUCAAGGUCAAUUACAAGAAAGACAGUCAAUUACAGACCCCACUAGAAAGAAGUCAUCAAUAGGAAGAAUCAUCAAUUACAGACACCAACCAGAAGAAGCGUACAUUGCAUCCCAAACAGAAAUCAACUACCCCAGCAACUCGGCCAAUGAGAAACCGUCACCACUCUGAACUCUUGCUUUUCUCCUGUGGACUUUUGUUCAAAACAACCUCUCCCAAUUUCCUCCUUUUUUCCUAUAAAAUGACAUUCUUCUCCUUUGAUCAUUGGCUUUUGCUAUAGAAUGUGGGUCUCAAAUUGCAAUUCUUUGUUUUUUUCCUGAA